Molecule: ribosomal RNA, 441 nt
Filed under: uncultured bacterium
Lineage: Bacteria
Description: partial 16S ribosomal RNA
Rfam family: Bacterial small subunit ribosomal RNA
Source: RNAcentral
CCUACUGGUGACAUCAUUGGGGCAUCUUGCACAAUGGGGGAAACCCUGAUGCAGCAACGCCGCGUGAAGUCCUCCUUUUUUCUUCUUUUUCCCUUCUUUUCUUCCUUCCUUCUAAUGACGGUAGCUAAGGAGCAAGCCACGGCUAACUACGUGCCAGCAGCCGCGGUAAUUCGGAGGUGGCAAGCGUUGUCCGGAAUUACUGGGUGUAAAGGGAGCGCAGGCGGGAAGCCAAGUCAGCUGUGAAAACUACGGGCUUAACUUGUAGACUGCAGUUGAAACUGGUUUUCUUGAGUGAAGUAGAGGUGGGCGGAAUUCCGAGUGUAGCGGUGAAAUGCGUAGAUAUGCGGAGGAACACCGGUGGCGAAGGCGGCCAACUGGGCUUUAACUGACGCUGAGGCUCGAAAGUGUGGGGAGCAAACAGGAUUAGAGACAAGAGUAGUC